UUUAUACUAAAUCAUACACAUCACAUCAAGUCAUAUUCGACUCCCAAACACUAACCAAGCUUCUUUGCUUCUCAACGCUUUGAUGGUUUAGCCGAAGUCCAUAUGAGUCGUUGUGUUUGUAUCUUCUAACAAGGAAACACUACUUACGCUUUUAGGAUAAGAUUGUUGUUUAAGUUCUUAUACUUAAUCAUACACAUGACAUAAAGUCAUAUUCGACUCCAAAACACUAAUCAAGCUUCUUCUUGCUUCUCAAAGCUUUGUUAGUUUAGCCGAAGUCCAAAUGAGUAUUUAUCUUU
RNAcentral lists this small RNA (296 nucleotides) under Arabidopsis thaliana (thale cress). Its description in RNAcentral is "ATSL204120". Lineage: Eukaryota; Viridiplantae; Streptophyta; Magnoliopsida; Brassicales; Brassicaceae. The record is from RNAcentral.